Molecule: ribosomal RNA, 459 nt
Filed under: uncultured bacterium
Lineage: Bacteria
Description: partial 16S ribosomal RNA
Rfam family: Bacterial small subunit ribosomal RNA
Source: RNAcentral
CCUACGGGUGGCAGCAGUGAGGAAUAUUGGUCAAUGGUCGGGAGACUGAACCAGCCAAGCCGCGUGAGGGAUGAAGGUACAGAGUAUCGUAAACCUCUUUUGUCAGGGAACAAAGGCGGGGACGUGUCCCCGGAUGAGUGUACCUGAAGAAAAAGCAUCGGCUAACCCCGUGCCAGCAGCCGCGGUAAUACGGGGGAUGCGAGCGUUAUCCGGAUUUAUGGGGUUUAGAGGGUGCGCAGGCGGUCUGUUAAGUCAGCGGUCAAAGCCCGGGGCUCAACCCCGGCCCGCCGUUGAAACUGGCAGUCUCGAGUUGGAGAGAAGUAUGCGGAAUGCGCGGUGUAGCGGUGAAAUGCAUAGAUAUCGCGCAGAACUCCGAUUGCGAAGGCAGCAUGCCGGCUCCACACUGACGCUGAGGCACGAAAGCGUGGGUAUCGAACAGGAUUAGAUACCCGGGUAGUC